UAUCAGGUCCAAUGAAUUUUCCAAGCAGUUGAGGAGCAAUAUCACAUGGAGAGAGCAAGGAUUAGCCAAUCAUCUCAACUCAGAAACAACUAAAACUCACUGACCAGUACGUGAAGAGUGAAUGACUGCUCAGCUUUUGGGAAGGGGAUACCAAAAGCACAGUGGUGAAAAAAUAGCCCCAUUACUUCUGAUUUGAAAACUCAGUUUUAUUAACAUGUUGAUCUCUGAGGACUUCCAGGGCUGUCGCCAAUAAGCCACACCACCUGGUCCCACCAUCUU
This is a long non-coding RNA of Marmota flaviventris (yellow-bellied marmot), 279 nucleotides long. RefSeq lists it as uncharacterized. The record is from RefSeq and is a predicted model, not a curated record. NCBI's taxonomy places the organism in Eukaryota, Metazoa, Chordata, Mammalia, Rodentia, Sciuridae.